This 253-nucleotide ribosomal RNA is filed under the name uncultured bacterium. RNAcentral describes it as "partial 16S ribosomal RNA". It matches the Rfam family "Bacterial small subunit ribosomal RNA", at positions 524 to 776 of the family's 1533-position model. The record is from RNAcentral.
UACGUAGGGGGCGAGCGUUGUCCGGAAUCAUUGGGCGUAAAGAGCGUGUAGGUGGGCCGGCAGGUCUGGUGUGAAAGCCCGGGGCUCAACCCCGGAGGGUCACCGGAAACCGACGGCCUUGAGUCCGGAAGAGGAGAGUGGAAUUCCUGGUGUAGCGGUGGAAUGCGCAGAUAUCAGGAGGAACACCGAUGGCGAAGGCAGCUCUCUGGUACGUGACUGACACUGAGACGCGAAAGCGUGGGGAGCGAACAGG